GAAGUGCGACAAGUGUCAUGACUUGCAGAUUCCCGAGAGCUGACAAAUUUCUGAAUGCAAAUGGCGGCUGUCCAACAGCCAUGUAUUGCAGAGUGUAGUUGUUCAUACUCAUCAUCCUCUCUCACAUUGAUAUAUGUGCGAGCAAGGGAUCUGCGCUUGCGAACACCGCGAGCGUGAAAAUCGGGAGUACAACUCGAUCGAGAGCAAUCUUGAACGAGUUGGCAACUUCGGAUGACUACAUGUCUAUUAGAAGUUGAUGCGCCCGCGUAUGGAGUGUGUGUAACAGCGCGCUCCAGGCAUAUUUCGGCAGCCACCUCUGCAAUGCAGGAGAACCCGCUGAACUUAA
RNAcentral lists this unclassified non-coding RNA (346 nucleotides) under uncultured fungus. Its description in RNAcentral is "sequence contains ITS1". The stretch from base 1 to 98 matches the Rfam family "5.8S ribosomal RNA", at positions 50 to 154 of the family's 154-position model. Lineage: Eukaryota; Fungi. The record is from RNAcentral.